Molecule: ribosomal RNA, 492 nt
Filed under: uncultured bacterium
Lineage: Bacteria
Description: partial 16S ribosomal RNA
Rfam family: Bacterial small subunit ribosomal RNA
Source: RNAcentral
GGGGGGGGGGGGGGGGGGGGGGGGGGGGGGGGGGGCGGGGGGGGGGGGCGGGGGGGGCGGGCUUGUGGGGGGGGGCGCCCGGCGCCGGGGGGGGGAGCGCGUGUCCGACCGGCCCACCACUCGGGAAUCACCUUGCGCACGUCAGACUAAUACCCAAUGACGUCCCCCGAAGACCUCUGAAUGGGAUUCAUGCUCUAGCGGUGCCGGAUGGCGAGGCGUCUGAUUCGCUUGGUGGCGGGGUAACGGCCCACCAAGGCAACGCUCAGUAGGGGUUCUGAGAGGAAGGUCCCCCAGAGUGGAACUGAGACACGGGCCAAACUCCUACGGGAGGCAGCAGUGAGGAAUAUUGGUCAAGGGGCGAGAGCCUGAACCAGCCAAGUAGCGUGCAGGAGGACGGCCCUAUGGGUUGUAAACUGCUUUUAUAAGGGAAUAAAGUGGGUCUCGUGAGACUUUUUGCAUGUACCUUAUGAAUAAGGACCGGCUAAUUCCGUG